This 547-nucleotide ribosomal RNA is filed under the name fungal sp. SNB-GTC2001. Its description in RNAcentral is "partial large subunit ribosomal RNA". The record is from RNAcentral. Lineage: Eukaryota; Fungi.
UGGGUCUCCUACCUGAUCCGAGGUCAACCUUUGGAAAAUUGGGGGGUUUUACGGCAAGAGUCCCUCCGGAUCCCAGUGCGAGACGUAAAGUUACUACGCAAAGGAGGCUCCGGGAGGGUCCGCCACUACCUUUGAGGGCCUACAUCAGCUGUAGGGCCCCAACACCAAGCAGAGCUUGAGGGUUGAAAUGACGCUCGAACAGGCAUGCCCGCCAGAAUGCUGGCGGGCGCAAUGUGCGUUCAAAGAUUCGAUGAUUCACUGAAUUCUGCAAUUCACAUUACUUAUCGCAUUUCGCUGCGUUCUUCAUCGAUGCCAGAACCAAGAGAUCCGUUGUUAAAAGUUUUGAUUAUUUGCUUGUACCACUCAGAAGAAACGUCGUUAAAUCAGAGUUUGGUUAUCCUCCGGCGGGCGCCGACCCGCCCGGGGGCGGGAGGCCGGGAGGGUCACGGAGACCCUACCCGCCGAAGCAACAGUUAUAGGUAUGUUCACAAAGGGUUAUAGAGCGUAAACUCAGUAAUGAUCCCUCCGAAGGUUCACCCCUACGGAA